GACGAACCGUGCGAACGUUGUUCGGAAUCACUGGGCUUAAAGGGCGCGUAGGCGGCUUGUCAAGUCAGGGGUGAAAUCUUUCGGCUUAACCGGAAAAGUGCCCUUGAUACUGAUGAGCUCGAGGGAGGUAGGGGCAUGUGGAACUUCUGGUGGAGCGGUGAAAUGCGUUGAUAUCAGAAGGAACGCCGGUGGCGAAAGCGACGUGCUGGACCUCUUCUGACGCUGAGGCGCGAAAGCUAGGGGAGCAAACGGG
Molecule: ribosomal RNA, 253 nt
Filed under: uncultured bacterium
Lineage: Bacteria
Description: partial 16S ribosomal RNA
Rfam family: Bacterial small subunit ribosomal RNA
Source: RNAcentral